Molecule: ribosomal RNA, 253 nt
Filed under: uncultured bacterium
Lineage: Bacteria
Description: partial 16S ribosomal RNA
Rfam family: Bacterial small subunit ribosomal RNA
Source: RNAcentral
UACGUAGGGUGCAAGCGUUGUCCGGAAUUAUUGGGCGUAAAGAGCUCGUAGGUGGCGGGUCACGUCGGGUGUGAAAGCCCGGGGCUUAACCCCGGGUCUGCAUUCGAUACGGGCAGGCUCGAGUUCGGUAGGGGAGACUGGAAUUCCUGGUGUAGCGGUGAAAUGCGCAGAUAUCAGGAGGAACACCGGUGGCGAAGGCGGGUCUCUGGGCCGAUACUGACGCUGAGGAGCGAAAGCGUGGGGAGCGAACAGG